UAUGUCCACAUCACGCUUAAACCACCAAUUCUCGUUCGAUCAGCGAAGUUAAGCAACGUCUAGCCUGGUCACUACCUAGAUUGGUGACCGUUUGGGAGUACCAAGUGCUGUAAG
This is a non-coding RNA of Acanthosepion pharaonis, 114 nucleotides long. The record is from the annotation of a GenBank genome assembly. Lineage: Eukaryota; Metazoa; Mollusca; Cephalopoda; Sepiida; Sepiidae.